AACGAACGCUGGCGGCGUGGCUAAGGCAUGCAAGUCGAACGGACCAUUUAUAUGGGUAACCAAAUGGAUGGUUAGUGGCGAACGGGUGAGUAAUGCAUAGGUAACGUACCCUUAACUUUGGGAUAGCCGGGGGAAACCCCGGAUAAUACCGGAUAAUGUCCAGGAGUCGCAUGGCUAUUGGACCGAAGGCUUCGGCUGGUUUUGGAGCGGCCUAUGUCGUAUCAGCUUGUUGGUGAGGUAACGGCUCACCAAGGCAUCGACGCGUAGCGGGACUGAGAGGUUGUUCCGCCACAUCGGGACUGAGACACUGCCCGGACCCCCACGGGGGGCUGCAGCAACGAAUCUUGCGCAAUGGACGAAAGUCUGACGCAGCGAUGCCGCGUGUAGGACGAAGCCCCUCGGGGUGUAAACUACUGUCAGGGUGAAGAAAGAU
RNAcentral lists this ribosomal RNA (433 nucleotides) under uncultured bacterium. RNAcentral describes it as "bacterial SSU rRNA". It matches the Rfam family "Bacterial small subunit ribosomal RNA", at positions 29 to 453 of the family's 1533-position model. The record is from RNAcentral.